This 481-nucleotide ribosomal RNA is filed under the name uncultured bacterium. Its description in RNAcentral is "bacterial SSU rRNA". It matches the Rfam family "Bacterial small subunit ribosomal RNA", at positions 15 to 507 of the family's 1533-position model. The record is from RNAcentral.
GAUCCUGGCUCAGGACGAACGCUGGCGGCGCGCCUAACACAUGCAAGUCGAACGAGAGAUGAAGAGCUUGCUCUUCAGAUCGAGUGGCGAACGGGUGAGUAAUGCGUGAGCAACCUGCCCUUCAGAGGGGGACAACAGUUGGAAACGACUGCUAAUACCGCAUAAUGUAUUCGGAAGGCAUCUUCUGAAUACCAAAGGAGAAAUCCGCUGAGGGAUGGGCUCACGUCUGAUUAGUUAGUUGGUGAGAUAACGGCUCACCAAGACUGCGAUCAGUAGCCGGACUGAGAGGUUGAACGGCCACAUUGGGACUGAGAUACGGCCCAGACUCCUACGGGAGGCAGCAGUGGGGAAUAUUGGGCAAUGGGCGAAAGCCUGACCCAGCAACGCCGCGUGAAGGAAGAAGGCCUUCGGGUUGUAAACUUCUUUUAAGAGGGACGAAGAAGUGACGGUACCUCUUGAAUAAGCCACGGCUAACUACGUG